CCGAGUUUUACAACUCCCAAACCCCUGUGAACAUACCAAUCGUUGCCUCGGCGGGAUAGCCCCGGGCGUUGGCGAAAGCCUCUAAACCGGUAUCAGGCGCCCGCCCGGAGGACCCAACUAAACUCUUGAUUCUAAUAUGUAAUCUUCUGAGUAAACAUAAGUUAAAUAAAUUA
RNAcentral lists this unclassified non-coding RNA (173 nucleotides) under soil metagenome. RNAcentral describes it as "partial internal transcribed spacer 1". The record is from RNAcentral.